Molecule: ribosomal RNA, 253 nt
Filed under: uncultured bacterium
Lineage: Bacteria
Description: partial 16S ribosomal RNA
Rfam family: Bacterial small subunit ribosomal RNA
Source: RNAcentral
UACGUAGGGUGCAAGCGUUAAUCGGAAUUACUGGGCGUAAAGCGCGCGUAGGCGGACCUGCAAGUCGGGGGUGAAAGCCCGAGGCUCAACCUCGGAACUGCCUUCGAUACUGCGGGUCUCGAGUCCGGGAGAGGUGAGUGGAAUUCCUAGUGUAGAGGUGAAAUUCGUAGAUAUCAGGAGGAAUACCAGUGGCGAAGGCGGCUUUCUGGGCCUACCCUGACGCUGAGGAGCGAAAGCGUGGGGAGCAAACCGG